This 252-nucleotide ribosomal RNA is filed under the name uncultured bacterium. RNAcentral's name for it is "partial 16S ribosomal RNA". It matches the Rfam family "Bacterial small subunit ribosomal RNA", at positions 1066 to 1320 of the family's 1533-position model. The record is from RNAcentral.
CGUGAGAUGUUGCGUUAAGUCGCGCAACGAGCGCAACCCCUGUCCUUAGUUGCCAUCAUUAAGUUGGGCACUCUAGGGAGACAAACCCUCUCUGAGGGUGGGAAGGUGGGGAUGACGUCAAGUCAGGAUGGCCCUUACGGCCUGGGCUGCACACGUGCUACAAUGCUCGGUACAGAGGGACGCAAUACCGCGAGGUGGAGCAAAUCCUCAAAACCGAGCCCAGUUCAGAUUGCAGUCUGCAAUUCGACUGCA